This 934-nucleotide ribosomal RNA is filed under the name Bacillus sp. (in: firmicutes). RNAcentral describes it as "bacterial SSU rRNA". It matches the Rfam family "Bacterial small subunit ribosomal RNA", at positions 36 to 953 of the family's 1533-position model. Lineage: Bacteria; Bacillati; Bacillota; Bacilli; Caryophanales; Bacillaceae. The record is from RNAcentral.
UUGAAUGCGCGUGCUAUAAUGCAAGUCGAGCGGACAGAAGGGAGCUUGCUCCCGGAUGUUAGCGGCGGACGGGUGAGUAACACGUGGGUAACCUGCCUGUAAGACUGGGAUAACUCCGGGAAACCGGAGCUAAUACCGGAUAGUUCCUUGAACCGCAUGGUUCAAGGAUGAAAGACGGUUUCGGCUGUCACUUACAGAUGGACCCGCGGCGCAUUAGCUAGUUGGUGGGGUAAUGGCUCACCAAGGCGACGAUGCGUAGCCGACCUGAGAGGGUGAUCGGCCACACUGGGACUGAGACACGGCCCAGACUCCUACGGGAGGCAGCAGUAGGGAAUCUUCCGCAAUGGACGAAAGUCUGACGGAGCAACGCCGCGUGAGUGAUGAAGGUUUUCGGAUCGUAAAGCUCUGUUGUUAGGGAAGAACAAGUGCGAGAGUAACUGCUCGCACCUUGACGGUACCUAACCAGAAAGCCACGGCUAACUACGUGCCAGCAGCCGCGGUAAUACGUAGGUGGCAAGCGUUGUCCGGAAUUAUUGGGCGUAAAGGGCUCGCAGGCGGUUUCUUAAGUCUGAUGUGAAAGCCCCCGGCUCAACCGGGGAGGGUCAUUGGAAACUGGGAAACUUGAGUGCAGAAGAGGAGAGUGGAAUUCCACGUGUAGCGGUGAAAUGCGUAGAGAUGUGGAGGAACACCAGUGGCGAAGGCGACUCUCUGGUCUGUAACUGACGCUGAGGAGCGAAAGCGUGGGGAGCGAACAGGAUUAGAUACCCUGGUAGUCCACGCCGUAAACGAUGAGUGCUAAGUGUUAGGGGGUUUCCGCCCCUUAGUGCUGCAGCUAACGCAUUAAGCACUCCGCCUGGGGAGUACGGUCGCAAGACUGAAACUCAAAGGAAUUGACGGGGGCCCGCACAAGCGGUGGAGCAUGUGGUUUAAUUCG